RNAcentral lists this ribosomal RNA (520 nucleotides) under uncultured Paraglomus. RNAcentral's name for it is "bacterial SSU rRNA". It matches the Rfam family "Eukaryotic small subunit ribosomal RNA", at positions 569 to 1082 of the family's 1831-position model. The record is from RNAcentral. Lineage: Eukaryota; Fungi; Glomeromycota; Glomeromycetes; Paraglomerales; Paraglomeraceae.
AGCAGCCGCGGUAAUUCCAGCUCCAAUAGCGUAUAUUAAAGUUGUUGCAGUUAAAAAGCUCGUAGUUGAACUUCAGGCCUGUCCAGAUGGUCCGCCUUAAUUGGUGUGUACUGUCCUUGGGUGGGUCCUACCUUCUGGCGAAGCGGCAUGGCCUUAAUUGGUUGUGUCGGGGAACCAGGACUUUUACUGUAGAAAAAUUAGAGUAGUUCAAAGCAGGCAUAUAUGCUCGAAUACAUUAGCAUGGAAUAAUGGAAUAGGACGAUGGUUCUAUUUUGUUGGUUCUAGGACCGUUGUAAUGAUUAAUAGGGAUAGUUGGGGGCAUUAGUAUUCAAUUGUCAGAGGUGAAAUUCUUGGAUUUAUUGAAGACUAACUACUGCGAAAGCAUUUGCCUAAGGAUAGUUUUCAUUAAUCUAAGAACGAAAGUUAGGGGAUCGAAGACGAUCCAGAUACCGUCGUAGUCUUAAACCAUAAACUAUAGCCGACUAGGAAUCGGGCAUUGUGUACAAAAUGAACUCGCUCG